RNAcentral lists this ribosomal RNA (949 nucleotides) under Eurylepta sp. PAN038. RNAcentral describes it as "partial large subunit ribosomal RNA". It matches the Rfam family "Eukaryotic large subunit ribosomal RNA", at positions 108 to 864 of the family's 3401-position model. The record is from RNAcentral. Lineage: Eukaryota; Metazoa; Platyhelminthes; Polycladida; Euryleptidae.
CCCAGCACCGAAUCCUUCACCAUGUCGGUGACAGGAAAUGUGGUGUUUAGGCCGUACUUUGUCCCGAUACGUCUCUCCUCAAGUCCACUUGAUUGUGGCCCCAGGCCCAGAGAGGGUGUAAGGCCCGUGGAGGCGAGAUGUUCGGUACCUGGUGCGUCCUUAGAGUCGGGUUGUUUGGGAAUGCAGCCCUAAGCGGGUGGUAAACUCCAUCCAAGGCUAAAUACCAGCACGAGUCCGAUAGCGAAGAAGUACCGCGAGGGAAGGUUGAAAAGAACUUUGAAGAGAGAGUUCAAGAGUACGUGAAACCGCUGAGAGGCAAACUGGUGGAACUGAAAUGGCUCCGAGGAAUUCAGCCGUUGGUGUUUUCACAGCUGUUGAUGUUCGAUUUAACGACGGCUUCAUCAGUUGACGUUGAUAUCAUAGGUGCACUUUCCUCGUUUGUGGGCCCGACCACGAUCGGUGAGCUGCUUUGUCUGUCGUGCCUGGAAGGUAGCGCCAUCUUCGGACGGCGUGUUAUAGACAGGUGUACGGAGCAAUAUGGCGCACUGAAUGAUAACGCCUGCCCUUGGGCUCAUAUGUUGGUUGUUUCGUUGGCGAGUUCCGAUUUCACUACCUCGGUAGAGUCGUUGGUCUCUGUCGGCUUUACGGCUGGCCUCUAUGAUUGGCGUUGGUAAAUCUGUGGUUGUGAAGUAGGUAGUCCACCUGACCCGUCUUGAAACACGGACCAAGGAGUCUAACAUGUGCGCGAGUCAUUGGGUUUACGAAACCUAAAGGCGCAGUGAAGGUAAAGAUCUGCUUUUUGCAGGUUGAGGUGGGAUGCUGGGUCACGUGCCCGGCCGCACUACCGGCCCGUUCUACUUGUAUCUCAAGGGAGCGGAGCAAGAGCGUACACGUUGGGACCCGAAAGAUGGUGAACUAUGCUUGCGCAGGUUGAAGCCAGAGGAAACUC